AAUACUUUGCAAACGUAUGUAGCUUGGAACAUGCACGAAGCACAGGAAGGACAGUAUGAUUUCAAUGGCAACAAUGAUUUGGUUAGUUUUAUUCAGAUGGCACAAUCAUCAGGACUCUUGGUCAUAGUUAGAGCAGGUGAGUCAAUAUUCCACUCUGGGGAUUAUAUAACAACUAUGGAUGAUUUAGGAAGUUCAUUAAAAAGGAUUUUAUACCUUCAAAAUGAACCUGUUAGUCUUUCAGCCAGUAAAAUUAACCCGAAGUUGGCUCAUAUCCCUGAAUGAUUAUUACUAGUAGUUCUCUCCCCCCCCCCCAGGGGGGAGGGGGGUUCCCUCAGAAAAAUUGGGUGGGGGUGUGCAGCCAGUUUCCCUUAACCCCAUUUUUGAACGAAAUCUGUGAUUUCCCUACUCUAUAAAUGACCUGACUAAAAAGUCAAUACCUUAUUUAUGGCCAUUGCGGCUGACACAGUUGCCCUAAACCCUCCGGGCUUUUAUCACCUAUUGCAGAAUAAUUUCCUUCAUUCCUUGAAAGUCAGUCAUUAGUAAUGCACAAUCUAUUAAUAAAUAUUUAAGAAACAGAAAACAUGUGCUGUGUUUCUAUCGAGUUAUAGAAACA
Long non-coding RNA from Orbicella faveolata, 613 nucleotides. The record is from RefSeq and is a predicted model, not a curated record. Lineage: Eukaryota; Metazoa; Cnidaria; Anthozoa; Scleractinia; Merulinidae.